GAUGGGCUGCCAGGAGGGCUGACUGUGCGGCUCAUCUUAUCCUCAUCCUCCUUUUGAAUAUGCUUUCGUCCCCAAAGGGGCAGCAGCACGGCCUGCUGGGGUUCUGGCCUUCAGGUGGAAAGAAAAUCAAAAGGUGUUUGAAAAGUCUCUCUUCUCCUUUACACCUUCCAUAGCGCUUUGGUGUUUGAAAGACAGACUGCUGCGUUCAGCAGAUCUGGCCCCAUGAUAUUCUAUGCACGCACACUAUUUCUGUUUGCUAUCAAUGUAUUUUAAUGUUUUGGCUCAUGUGAUAUUAUAGGCUUUUCUCUGUCCUUUACUUGCUGCUACAGCUUUAGCAAUAGGAGAAUGUGUUCGAUGGUGUAACCUGAUGUCCCACAGAAGACAAAUCUGGUUGCCUAUCCAAAAAAGGAGCUAUUAGGGCUCACAGAUUCCUUAAUGGAACUUAAUGGCUUUAAGUAAUGGCCCUUAAUGGCUUUAAUCAGCCUCACCGGGAGCCUCCACCCACACUCCCUGCCCUUGGGUGCAGGAGCCACAUAAAAGCCCCGGGCUGUGAGCUUACAGAGCUUUGUUGCAUCGAGUCUGUGGUUUGACUAUGGCUUCCUGGCUGACCUUCUGGUUUGAUCUCGGACCUGUCUCAGAAGGUUGUUUGGUGAUGCAGACUCUCCACCUGAACCUGGCAGCCAUCUUUGGGUUUGCUCAACUCACCUCACUAGGUACUAUGGGAUGUGCUCUGGGUAGUGGGUUCCUUGCCUUGCGGGUUGUUAUUGCACUUGGUUCUGCUUUCCUUAGGGAAACCAUUAACCAUCCAUGUUUCCUUGUUCAAGCGUUGGUACUAUCUUUAAACAAGGACUGUCUCAGUCCUUGAGUUACCUCUACUGUAGGGUUAGGCGAGAGUCAGACCUAAUGCAAAACGAAGGGUUAAAUAUAUUGUCCUUUGGGUUGAGAUUGGAGGGAACAAAACAUCCGUUUUUGUAGCUGCUAGAACAGUUCACUUACAAAGUCAAGCUACCAUCUGGCUUCUGAGUGCUGCCAUGGUUUCCUGAAGAACACAAGGAAUGGAGAUACUCAGAAUAUUAGCGUUUUUAUUUUAAUAUCAAAGCAAAUUAUGAAUAGAACAGCAUGAGUCAAUUUACAGAUAAUGAAAGGGAUUUCUGAAGGAUAUCUGUAGGCUGUAAGCUAUGCUGUGCAUAUGAAAAAAAUUACUACCUGACAGAUUUUCAGAGAGAGUGUAAAUGGUCCCUUUUAUACUUCCUUAUCUGUGUGUAUGUGCA
This is a long non-coding RNA of Gallus gallus (chicken), 1271 nucleotides long. NCBI's taxonomy places the organism in Eukaryota, Metazoa, Chordata, Aves, Galliformes, Phasianidae. The record is from Ensembl.